This 1676-nucleotide ribosomal RNA is filed under the name Koreocobitis naktongensis (Nakdong nose loach). Its description in RNAcentral is "16S ribosomal RNA". It matches the Rfam family "Bacterial large subunit ribosomal RNA". The record is from RNAcentral. Lineage: Eukaryota; Metazoa; Chordata; Actinopteri; Cypriniformes; Cobitidae.
GCUAAACAGCUAGCUUAAUUACCACACUAAAUUAAUAAUAUAUAUAAAUUAGCAAAACCUAAAAUUAAUAACCAAACCAUUUUUCCACCUAAGUACGGGAGACGAAAAAGGUCCCAUGAGCAAUAGAAAAAGUACCGCAAGGGAAAGCUGAAAGAGCAAUGAAAUAAGUCAUACAAGCACAAAAAAGCAGAGACUAGCACUCGUACCUUUUGCAUCAUGAUUUAGCAAGAACCCAACAAGCAAAGAGACCUUUAGUUUGUUACCCCGAAACCAAGUGAGCUACCCCGGGACAGCCUAAAAGGGCCAACCCGUCUCUGUGGCAAAAGAGUGGGAAGAGCCCCGGGUAGAGGUGACAGACCUACCGAACUUGGUGAUAGCUGGUUGCCUAAGAAAUGAAUAGAAGUUCAGCCUCGUGCUCCCUUUAAUCAAAUAAGUAAUAUCUACUAUAGAAAAUAAGAAAAACAUGAGAGUUAGUUAAAGAGGGUACAGCCCCUUUGACCAAGGAUACAACUUUAAUAGGAGGAUAGGGAUUAUAAUUAAAAAAAUUAUUGUUUCAGUGGGCCUAAAAGCAGCCACCUGCACAGAAAGCGUUAAAGCUCAGACAAUACGAAAUUUAUUAUUUCAAUAGUCCAUCCCACUCCCCUACUUAUACUGGGCCGCCCCAUGACAUCAUGGGAGAGAUUAUGCUAAAAUGAGUAACAAGAGACAACACUUCUCUCCAAGCACAAGUGUAAGCCAGCCCGGAUGAACCACUGGCAAUUAACGAACCCAAUAAAAGAGGGCAAUGUAGCCAAUAUAAGACACAAGAAAAUUGUACAAUAUAUAAUCGUUAAACCCACACUGGAGUGCCUCAAGGAAAGACUAAAAAAAAGGGAAGGAACUCGGCAAACCCAAGCCUCGCCUGUUUACCAAAAACAUCGCCUCCUGCAAAAUUCAAGGUAUAGGAGGUCCAGCCUGCCCAGUGACCACAAGUUCAACGGCCGCGGUAUUUUGACCGUGCAAAGGUAGCGCAAUCACUUGUCUUUUAAAUGAAGACCUGUAUGAAUGGCCAAACGAGGGCUUAGCUGUCUCCCCUUUUAAGUCAGUGAAAUUGAUCUGCCCGUGCAGAAGCGGACAUACAUAUACAAGACGAGAAGACCCUUUGGAGCUUAAGGUUCAACCCCAACCGCGUCAAACAACUUUAUAAAUAAGGAAUAAACCUAGCGGAAAAUGGGACUUUACCUUCGGUUGGGGCGACCACGGAGAAAAAAUCAUCCUCCGAGUGGACUGGGCCAACAAGCCUAAAACUAAGAAAGACAUUUCUAAGCCACAGAAAAUCUGACCAGCAAUGAUCCGGCCUGUAGGCCGAUCAACGGACCAAGUUACCCUAGGGAUAACAGCGCAAUCCUCUCCCAGAGUCCAUAUCGACGAGGGGGUUUACGACCUCGAUGUUGGAUCAGGACAUCCUAAUGGUGCAGCCGCUAUUAAGGGUUCGUUUGUUCAACGAUUAAAGUCCUACGUGAUCUGAGUUCAGACCGGAGCAAUCCAGGUCAGUUUCUAUCUGUAACGUCACUUUUCCUAGUACGAAAGGACCGGAAAAGAGAGGCCCAUGCCAAAAGUAUGCCUCACCCCUAAUUAAUGAAAACAACUCAAUUAAAUAAAUGGAGGACCCACAAUUUGAGCAAAGAUAAAGCCAC